GGCGUUCACGCACAUUUGGGGUGGGCGUGGCUAGAGGGAACCGCCUCUCUGGAGGGCUGACACAUCAUCCAAGAUUGCUGUGCCCAAGAAGAGGCCGCAGUGUGGGUGUCACCAGCUUGCAUGAGGUUUAGGGACAAAGGAUGUUGAACCAUGAAUAGCAGAGCUAUGGGGACUGCUAUGUUGGCUUAAAGCUGCCGUCAACAACCGUCAUUUCUCAGUGAGCGUUCUAGAAGAUUGUCAGCUUCCUAGAUGGGGCCUAUGGGGAUUAGGAUUGUUGUGCUAGGUUUAAGAACGUGGUUAAUUUAAUGAAGUCACAAUGUCAGACCAUACUUUUAGAGGGAAGAGCUUUUAUACCAAUAUGAGAAACCGAGAAGCUAUAAAUUUAGAGAUAUACAUAUUUGCCUAUAUAAAAAGUCAGUAUUUAGUAAGGCAAAAAAACACAAUGGAAAAAGUCAACAAGGGGAAAGUUAGAUUGAAAAUGAAGUGUCUUAAACACAUAUGCCUUAUAAAUGUUUAAUGCUUAUAAUAAGCCUACAAAUGAAGUGCAGAAAGACACAGAUCCCAUUAGGAAAAGGUGAAAAGCAUAUGGAUAGUCAGUUUACACCAGAGUCUAAGUAAUGACACCGUCCCUCCUCAGCGCUUGACAUGUGUCAGUUUACUUAGUCUUCAAAAGAACAAUGUCAGAUAGUUGCUACUAUUAUCCCCACUUCACAGGAGAGGAAACUGAGGCCCACUGUUAGGCCACACACUUUCACUGUGAGAGAGAGGGCAAAAUAGUGUAAAAUUAACAUAUCACCUCAGCAAAAACUGGCAAGAAUGAUAGCAGCCUCUGGGGGACGAACAGGGGUGUGGGGCCCGGACGCUUGCUGGCAGAGACGGGAAUUUUAACCCCAGUUUACAAAGGCAAAAACACACCUUUCAACUCAGCAAUCCCUGGAAUAUGUGCAAGGAAGUUUGUUGCAGGAUGAGUACAUUUUGGAAGAUCCACACCAUGGAAUGUUGUGCAACGUUUAAAAGGAAUGAGUUAGAGCUGUACCAGUUAACCUGAAGAAAAUUUCAAGAUGUGAGAAAAGCAACCUGCAGAGAAGGGUAUACACGCGAUCUCAUCUUCACAAAACAAGCAAAAACAAACAAGGAAACAACAACCCAAACCAGGUCUAAUAUUUACUGGCUGUGUGUCCUUGAGAAGUUUACUUAGCUUCUCUGUUUAUCAACACCACAGGGAUAAUAGCAGUGUGGGGUUUUUGUGAGGUAUAGUAUACAUACAGGAAGUCUUUGUGCUUGCUUUGUAGUAAAUGUUCAUAUUAUACAUGUCAGAAGUAGAUUAGAGAAAGGAAUGAAAGGACACACCAGGAUGCAGAAACUAGUUCCCAAAGGGAAGGAGGAAAGAUUAAAAAAAGAGCUUUAAAAUAAACAGGAGUGAAAAAAAUCAGCAAAAUAGUAUAAAUAUUAUGACCCAAUUUGAUAGACUGGUGUGUGUGUGUGUGUGCAUUGUGUUUAUUGUAUAGUGGUGGGAUUUCAGGUGAUUAAUAAUUUUUUCCCUUAUGUAUUUGAAUUUCUUAACCUCAGCAUUAAUCUUCUCAUUUGUUCUAUUGUAAAAUGUGCUAUAUCUACAGAAGACCGUAUCAGACAUUAAUGAACGAUGUAAAGAAGGAAAAGAAAGUGAACGACCACGUCCUUACCACCCAGCAAGUGUGAGAGAUCCAGCUGCCCCACAUCGUCACCAAGACUCGGCAUGGUCUGUCUUUUUAAUUUCAGCCGUUCUGGUUUACUGACAGUUUGGAAAUCCUCUUUUGUGAAGUAACCGAUUGUGGGUCUUCUAUAAAAGGAUAUAAGUCAAGAACAGCCAGAUGAAAGAGAUGCUCCAGGGCCAGGUGUGGGGAAAGGGUGCAGAGCUUCCGUGCCCUCUCCGGGCACGCCACUCUCCCAGCACCGCUACGUGUUCACCAACCUCGGAACUGGUGCGGGAUUUUCUGUUCUGGUUCUUUCAUAAUACUCUGAGCAUCUGCAUCUACACCAGGGUUGACGGUUGUGCUUAGCAGGAAGGAACAGGUCUAUGCUAUCUUGUCCGGACUGGAAACCUCUAUUUUUUAACCAUCAAUGCCUCUCAGGUCUGACCUCAGACCCAAGCCUCUGUGAACUCUUCCACCAUCAGUGCUACUCUAGUCUGUCCUCGAACGCGGGUUUCUGUCAGUUCACCGCCAGUGCCCGUCUUUUAUAUAUCUUCAACUCCGGCCUCUGCGAGCUCUGCUACCAUCCACGCCCUUCUGGUCUGUAACUCAGAACCACGCCUCUUUCACCUUGACCACCGUCAAUGGCAUAUUGUGUAGAAUCGUGCCACCAGAUAUGGCAGAUGCUAGCCACGUGUAGCUACUGAGCACUUGAAAUGAGGCUAAUGAGACUGAGAAUUGAAUUCUAAAUUUUAUUUAUUUUAAUUAAUUAAAAAUUUAAAAUAGGUGCUCAAUUCAGUUAUUGGAAACCUUUUAAACUAUUUUUGGAACAACUCGUGACUAUUAAUCUACAUUUUCAACUGUAAAUUUUAAGAAAUCUAAAUACAAAUCAAGUAUUUCCGAUGAAAAUUUAGCAUUCAAAUUGAGAUGUAUUGUGAGUGUAAAAUAGACGUCUGAUUUCAUAGACUAAUUACAAGAAAAAGAAUGCCAAAUCCCAUUAAUAAUUUAAAAAAUUGAUUACAUGUUGAAAUGAUAAUGUUUUGGAUAUGUGG
This is a long non-coding RNA of Equus asinus (donkey), 2722 nucleotides long. Lineage: Eukaryota; Metazoa; Chordata; Mammalia; Perissodactyla; Equidae. The record is from Ensembl.